This 76-nucleotide transfer RNA is filed under the name Candidatus Thorarchaeota archaeon. Its description in RNAcentral is "tRNA-Thr". It matches the Rfam family "tRNA". From Rfam's summary of the family: Transfer RNA (tRNA) molecules are approximately 80 nucleotides in length. Their secondary structure includes four short double-helical elements and three loops (D, anti-codon, and T loops). The record is from RNAcentral. Lineage: Archaea; Promethearchaeati; Candidatus Thorarchaeota.
GCCUCGGUGGCUUAGGGGUUAUAGCGUAUGCUUCGUAAGCAUAAUGUCGUGGGUUCGAUUCCCACCCGGGGCUCCA